Long non-coding RNA from Notolabrus celidotus (New Zealand spotty), 590 nucleotides. RefSeq lists it as uncharacterized. The record is from RefSeq and is a predicted model, not a curated record. Lineage: Eukaryota; Metazoa; Chordata; Actinopteri; Labriformes; Labridae. The transcript is spliced from 3 exons.
CUGCUGAUCGACUGGUAUUGAUGCAUUAAUUAAUAAUCGAUCAUGAAUCCAUAAGUUAAAAACAUGGAUUAAGAAGUUGAGUUUUACCUGUUUGCAGCUGCUCUGUCCGUCUUAUUCCACAAAAACAUCAAGCUCCAAACUGUUGUGAAACACACGCUCUACAAUACACACUUACGUACUUCCGGUUAGAUUUUUUCAAAAUAAAACCUCGCUGCGGAGCCCAGACAGUCUCCGUCUGUUCAUAUACUACAUGAAUUCAGGGUUGAAAAACGGAGAACUGUCAAAGGAACACAAAAAGAAAAGAACUGUAGGCUCAUAAAUCAAAACAGGAGAUGGAGGUUAACCCACCCCGGAAGUGUUGCCAUGACACCCCAGAGCCUGUCAGUCAGCGUGGAAAGCCCCGGAGCUGGAGGGGAAUUCCGGCACAACGUGGCAAAUAAGUCCCGCUGAUUGGUUGAGGGAGAUAAGCCCCGCCCACCAGACAGAACUGAAGCACACAGUUUAUAUAUUCAUCAUUUUAAAAUCAUGCACACUUAGAUCACAAGAAAACAUUUGAAAAUGAAAACUAAUGAAUAAAAAGUCAAAAUAAA